GAUGAACGCUCGCGGCAGGCCUAACACAUGCAAGUCGAGGGAUAAGCCUUCGGGCUAAGACCGGCGCACGGGUGCGUAACGCGUAUACAAUCUGCCUUUUAUCCGGGGGAUAGCCCGAAGAAAUUUGGAUUAAUACCCUAUGGUAUAAGAGCACGGCAUCGUGCACUUAUUAAAGCUACGGCGGUAAAAGAUGAGUAUGCGUUCUAUUAGCUAGUUGGAGAGGUAACGGCUCCCCAAGGCGACGAUAGAUAGGGGUUCUGAGAGGGAUGUCCCCCACACUGGUACUGAGAUACGGACCAGACUCCUACGGGAGGCAGCAGUGAGGAAUAUUGGACAAUGGUCGGAAGACUGAUCCAGCCAUGCCGCGUGCAGGAUGACGGCCUUAUGGGUUGUAAACUGCUUUUGUAAGGGAAGAAUAAGGAGUACGUGUACUUUGAUGACGGUACCUUACGAAUAAGCAUCGGCUAACUCCGU
RNAcentral lists this ribosomal RNA (474 nucleotides) under uncultured bacterium. RNAcentral's name for it is "partial 16S ribosomal RNA". It matches the Rfam family "Bacterial small subunit ribosomal RNA", at positions 28 to 506 of the family's 1533-position model. The record is from RNAcentral.